AGAGUUUGAUCAUGGCUCAGGAUGAACGCUGGCGGCGUGCCUAAUACAUGCAAGUCGAACGAGGUGCUUUUGUAGCAAUACGAGAGUAUCCUAGUGGCGAACGGGUGAGUAACGCGUUGGUGACCUACCCCAAAGUGUGGGAUAACAGUCCGAAAGGACUGCUAAUACCGCAUGUGGUCAUUGGGUUUAGAAACCGGUGACUAAAGGAGCAAUUCGCUUUGGGAGGGACCUGCGUCCCAUCAGCUAGUUGGUGAGGUAAUGGCUCACCAAGGCGACGACGGGUAGGGGACCUGAGAGGGUGACCCCCCACAAUGGAACUGAAACACGGUCCAUACACCUACGGGUGGCAGCAGUAGGGAAUAUUGCUCAAUGGGCGAAAGCCUGAAGCAGCAACGCCGCGUGUGUGAUGAAGGCCUUCGGGUCGUAAAGCACUUUUCUGGGAGGUGAGAAAGGACAGUAUCCCAGGAAUAAGUCUCGGCUAACUACGUGCCAGCCGCCGCGGUAAUAC
RNAcentral lists this ribosomal RNA (508 nucleotides) under uncultured bacterium. RNAcentral describes it as "bacterial SSU rRNA". It matches the Rfam family "Bacterial small subunit ribosomal RNA", at positions 8 to 526 of the family's 1533-position model. The record is from RNAcentral.